Molecule: long non-coding RNA, 1622 nt
Organism: Folsomia candida
Lineage: Eukaryota; Metazoa; Arthropoda; Collembola; Entomobryomorpha; Isotomidae
Exons: 2
Source: RefSeq, a predicted model, not a curated record
UCAAUGUCAAUGCCGCCAACGUAAACACUUACUCGAGCAUUGGACCAGAAUUAUAUUUGCAAUUUUUGUGAAUUAGCAACUUGGCGAACUUGGUGAUGUGUUUAUGAAGAUGGUGGCAUAGAGAAUAGAAAUAUUUCAUUGAAUCAGUGCAUUCCAUAAAUUCUAGGAAAAUUUUCAGCUGUCAAUGUCAACAUCUAUAUGAUUAUAGUUCUUAUAGGAUUGAGUAGAUAUCGUGAUAUCGUAUCAUAACGUUGUGCUGUCACCUCAUUUCAUUGUUCUGACACAACUAGAUUAUAUGGGUGCUGGUUAACCACCGUCUUUCACCAUAGACAAAAGUUUAUUUAUUUAUCACAUGCAUGUACGUAUUGCAAACUGCUUAUGUACAUUUCCAGUGUAUAAAGAGAGUCAUCUUCAUAUGACGCAUCGAACCGAAUUAUGUCCCCUUCUUUUAUCGUUGAUAUAAUAAUAAUGCAUUUCCAAUGAAGCAACUGGGUGGAAAAUUCGAACUGACAACUGACACCACAUCAGAAAAGAUAAUGGAUCUAUGCAUGCUUCCUCCUCCAGUGAAGAGAUCCCAUCUCGAGGUCUCAUCCUCAGUUACCUCAACAACAUUAUUAUAAUGCUGAAAAUCUGUGCUAAUCAAACUUAUCGAACCACAAGGCUACUUGGAUAUGCAUAUAAUUGCCGGCUAAUAAAUUCAUUCAAAUGAAUUCAUUCUUAUCUGAAACUUUAGCACUGUUGAUAUUUUGCAUCGAAAAACUCUCAACAAUUGUGCAUUAUUUGAACCAGGUUGAUUAUCCUGACUUUUUUCUCAUUGUUCUUUCUUGGAAGGUGGGUGUGGUCUUUGGGGAAGAAAGAGCCGGCAGAAAAAUCACACGCUCGUAUGCAUGCACAUAUGUAUGUAUAACGGUAUCAAGUCUAAAAUAGUGGAAAAGGACGGAUCGAUAAGCAGCAGCCAGCUCCACUCCGACAACUAAAAACUCCGAAUUUCUACAGAGUAGUCAGUUAUUUGAUUGGGACAGACGGGAGCAAGAAACAGCAGACUAGAGGAGAGGGUGGUGUGUGUGGUGGCAUGCAUGCUUCUGUCUGGAACACUUUGGCUGCCACCGAUUUCUUAUUGUCUUUUGUGCAAGAAGAACCUGAGCCACCCCCAAAACCUCAAUGGAAAGUACCAUCCAUGGUCGUUCAUUGGUGUGGAGAAAAAUAAAAGCGUGCUUCUCCAUGAAAUCAAAAUUUGCCCUAUUGUUUUCAUAAGUGCAUGACUCUCCGCACUCGGAUUCAAGUUGAACCUGGUGCGGUUUCAAUUUUAUCAUGAUUCCUUGAUUUGCCAGGAGGAGUAUGUAUUUGAAGCAGCUCGCUUCCCUGGAUAGUGCACUACUGGAAGAAGAAAUGUACUGGGACCUGGCUGCUGCGUGGCCAUGAUUUAAUAAGUUUUGAUCUGAAUUAAAUUUUCUCCAGGAGGAAUUCUUUCUCACCAUCUUUAGCCUAGAGUACAUAGACUGUUAUACGUAUAAAAUAAAUCACAGUGUACUCAUAAGGACUUAUAUUCCAUUGUUUUUCGUGAAUGGGGCUCACACUUCAUAAAAUUUACAAGUGGUAUAAUAAAAUGACAUUAAAGAAAG